GUCAACAUUGCCUCAUCUUGUCUUUUCUUUGUUUUCUCAACUAAUAGCUUAUUUUCAAGCAAAUCAUAACCCCCACGAGAUAGUAAGUGGGGGCAAUCAUUGUAUUUUUGAAUUUCCUGUGCCUUUUUCCUUAUUCCUUGUCAUACACCAUAUAGUAUUUCCAUCUGAUUAAUUCUAAUGAAAUGAUAUAUUUAAAGUAAAACACAUUGACAUCUAACCUACCAGUUAGGGGUUUUGCAGCUUGCAAUAACUUC
This 254-nucleotide long non-coding RNA is filed under the name Glycine max (soybean). RNAcentral's name for it is "long non-coding RNA (GMAX_LNC001510)". Lineage: Eukaryota; Viridiplantae; Streptophyta; Magnoliopsida; Fabales; Fabaceae. The record is from RNAcentral.